GGCAGUUCUCGGGUGACAUACCCAGAAUUGGGCUCCCUCUUCUCUGGUUCCGGGGUGUGUCACCUGAGCACCACC
Myotis davidii is the source of this 75-nucleotide non-coding RNA. The record is from Rfam. Lineage: Eukaryota; Metazoa; Chordata; Mammalia; Chiroptera; Vespertilionidae.